CGAACAAAAUGGAGGCGUCAGAUUUCAGCGGUUGGAGGAUUUCUCUCUUUUCUCUUUGGCUAAAGACCAGGGUACAUGGCAAAUUGGACAGGAAAAGGUCAAAGGUCAGGCCUUUUUUGCAGCAUACUCCGUAAAUCUCUCCAGGAAGCUAAUUUAGCUGGACGACCAAUCGUCCUAGAAGUUACUACAGUAAACAACAAUAAUGUUGUUUUGGGAGCAUUUUCAACCGAUAUAAAGCUGGACUUUACCGCCACCUAGUGGGUUGGAGGGUUUGGAUCAAUGAUAGAAGAAGGUCAGAAAUGAGAAAACUGAGAAAUUAAGGUUUUCACUGUCCCAGCCCGACUUCAAAUACAUCCAACAAUCAUCCAUCCAACUAUCGUCCAUCCAUCCAGCCAUCAUCCGUCCGUCAAUCGUCCAUCCCUUUGUCCGGUAAAUAUUGACCAACAUGAUUACAUUUUUGAACAAACAGAUGAAAUUCUGUCAGAGUUGACUGCCUCGAUGAGAUGAAGCAAACAGGAAGUGAUGUCAUUUCAUGGAGUCAUUAUAUAAGCCGUAGCGUUCAGAGGUCAAAGGUGAGGGAAUUGAUUUCAUGGCGUCUCCUGAGACGCUUUAGAGAAAACAUUGCCAGCGCUGAAAAGGGGGCCAUGCCGAGACGUCUUGGAUGAGUUUAACAGAUUCAUCAGGGAGGAUGAGGUGAACCAGGCUCUUCAUCGGCCCUGUGUCUGUGCGGAGACUCCCGCUGCCGGGAGCUUCACGCAGAACCGCUCCUCACACCAAGGGUGUGCCGAAUGGCAGUGGCAGCCAGAGGGAUUCCCAAGCAGAGCUGAACUUUUGAACCAGUUGCCUCAUCUCUCUUCCCAGAGAGACGAAUCCUUCCACCUUUGUGUUUCGGGCUGGAGGUGGAAGCAGACGCUGGACUCUCUGUGAACUUUUCUCAUUAACCCACUUCCUGCACCUCAUCCACGACACACAGCAUAGUGGCUCAUUGGCACAACCAGCUGCUGGUUCUACACCAACAUCCGGGACUGAGGAGCUGCUAACGUUUCUUCGGGAGAUGCUAACAUCUCCAGCCAGAUGUUAGCUUCCACUGAUUCUGGGGAAAUAUCGGGAAUGUAACGUCUCCAACUGAAUGGAUAAAGCUGUGUGUGAUAGACAUCCUAAGUGCACAAAAGAGCGUUAUCACAGAUCCUUCAUCCCAGCAGCUGAUAGGAUUCAUUGAGUCCGUUUUAAUCCAACUCCAGUCCGUUUAACUGGAAACUCCAGUUUCUUUCAUCACCUGCUCCACCUCCAGCUGCUGUGGUUCUUUCUCUCUGCUGAGUCAAACCAACCUGUUCCCCUC
Long non-coding RNA from Poecilia reticulata (guppy), 1339 nucleotides. RefSeq lists it as uncharacterized. Lineage: Eukaryota; Metazoa; Chordata; Actinopteri; Cyprinodontiformes; Poeciliidae. The record is from RefSeq and is a predicted model, not a curated record.